CAGCACUAAGUCACUUUGUCUUUAUGGCAAAUGUGAGAUGCAGUGUAUGGAAUGUCAAAUUUCUAGUAUGAGAAAUUAACGAUUUAAGUCCUUCUUAAAUGAGGCCAUUUACCCAUAGAGGGUGCCAGGCCCGUAUAACGUUAAUGAUUACUAGAUGGCAUUUCCAAAGAGUCGUGUUGCUUGAUAGUGCAGCACUAAGUGGGUGGUAAACUCCAUCUAAAACUAAAUAUAACCAUGAGACCGAUAGUAAACAAGUACCGUGAGGGAAAGUUGAAAAGAACUCUGAAUAGAGAGUUAAAUAGUACGUGAAACUGCUUAGAGGUUAAGCCCGAUGAACCUGAAUAUCCAUUAUAGAAAAUUCAUCAUUAUGAUUUUAAUAUUAAUAAUAUUAUAAUAAUGGUGUGCAUUUUUUCUAUAACGGACAUUGUAAUCUAUUAACAUAAAUAUAUUUAUCAUAAGAUCAAUGAUGCGUAAGUUUAUUCAAAUUAUUUUGCUUGCAAUUUAACAUAGAAUAAAUGCUCUUGAUUUGAUAAAGUGUUGAUAGAUUUAUUGUAUAUAGUGCUUAAAUAUUUAUAUUUUAUAAUAGCAUAUUAAUCAUUGAUUUUUAUGUUUAUUAUAUGCACUUAUAUGAUUAACAAUGCGAAAGAUUCAGGAUACCUUCGGGACCCGUCUUGAAACACGGACCAAGGAGUCUAACAUAUUUGCAAGUUAUUGGGUAUCAAAACCUAAUAGCGAAAUUAACAUAACUUUAAUGGGAUUAGUUUUUAGAUUAUUUAUAGUCUAUUAAUUCAAUCCCGGGGCGUUCUAUAUAGUUAUGUAUAAUAAUAUUUAUAUUAUUUAUACCUCUAACUAGAGCGUACCUUGAGCAUAUAUGCUGUGACCCGAAAGAUGGUGAACUAUACUUGAUCAGGUUGAAGUCAGGGGAAACCCUGAUGGAAGACCGAAACAGUUCUGACGUGCAAAUCGAUUGUCAGAAUUGAGUAUAGGGGCGAAAGACCAAUCGAACCAUCUAGUAGCU
Molecule: ribosomal RNA, 1018 nt
Filed under: Sarcophaga caerulescens
Lineage: Eukaryota; Metazoa; Arthropoda; Insecta; Diptera; Sarcophagidae
Description: eukaryotic LSU rRNA
Rfam family: Eukaryotic large subunit ribosomal RNA
Source: RNAcentral